This 468-nucleotide ribosomal RNA is filed under the name uncultured bacterium. Its description in RNAcentral is "partial 16S ribosomal RNA". It matches the Rfam family "Bacterial small subunit ribosomal RNA", at positions 28 to 507 of the family's 1533-position model. The record is from RNAcentral.
GACGAACGCUGGCGGCGUGCUUAACACAUGCAAGUCGAGCGGAAAGGCCCUGCUUUUGUUGGUUGCUCGUUUGGCGAACGGGUGAGUAACACGUGAGUAACCUGCCCUUGACUUACUGAUAACUUCAGGAAACUGGGGCUAAUACCGCAUAGGAUCUCCUGCUGCAUGGUGGGGGUUGGUAAGAUUCGGCGGUUGGGGCUGGACUCGCGGGUUAUCAGCUUGUUUGUGGGGUAGGUGCUUACCAAGGCUUCGACGGGUAGCCGGCCUGAGAGGGUGACCGGCCACCUUGCGACUGAGAUACGGACCAGACUCCUACGGGAGGCAGCAGGCGGGAAUAUGGCACAAUGGGCGGAAGCCUGAUGCAGCAACGCCGCGUGCGGGAAGCCGGGCUUCGGGUUGUAAACCGAUUUCGCAGGUGACGAAGCGUGCGUGACGGUAAUGGGUAAGGAAGCAACGGCUAACUACGUG